GAUCAUGGCUCAGGACGAACGCUGGCGGCGCGCCUAACACAUGCAAGUCGAACGAGAGAGAAGGAGCUUGCUUCUUCGAUCGAGUGGCGAACGGGUGAGUAACGCGUGAGGAACCUGCCUCAAAGAGGGGGACAACAGUUGGAAACGACUGCUAAUACCGCAUAAGCCACCGGUCGGGCGAUCGACCUCNGGGAAAGGGAAAGGAGGAUCGCUCUGUAGAG
RNAcentral lists this ribosomal RNA (221 nucleotides) under uncultured bacterium. Its description in RNAcentral is "partial 16S ribosomal RNA". It matches the Rfam family "Bacterial small subunit ribosomal RNA", at positions 15 to 226 of the family's 1533-position model. The record is from RNAcentral.